CUGUUCCUCACCACCUUCCUGUCUCUCCCAUGUACCCAUACACCUCUUGUGCAAGGUAGGCUGAAAUGAACCAACAUCAGCAGAGGCCGCGGCAGAGUGAGAGAGCUGCCCAUGCUGGGAGAAGCCCUGGUCUUUGUCUCCACAAAUGCUGAAACUGACAGUGUUUCUCCCAGAGUCCAAGUCUCCAUUAGCCAAGCCAAGAGCAGAGGAAAUGUUCUCCACUGGAGGAAAGAAGAACUGUCGACACCAGAAAAUUUCCUGCUGGAAUUCUGCCAAAGAAUAGCUGGCCGUCCUAGGGAGGUCCAUCAUUACGGAACUUUGCUGUUUGUAAAUUUAAUAAACGACUCACAUCUGCUUAUAAUAUCA
Long non-coding RNA from Homo sapiens (human), 366 nucleotides. RefSeq lists it as uncharacterized. The transcript is spliced from 2 exons. NCBI's taxonomy places the organism in Eukaryota, Metazoa, Chordata, Mammalia, Primates, Hominidae. The record is from RefSeq and is a predicted model, not a curated record.